This 464-nucleotide ribosomal RNA is filed under the name uncultured bacterium. RNAcentral's name for it is "partial 16S ribosomal RNA". It matches the Rfam family "Bacterial small subunit ribosomal RNA", at positions 28 to 507 of the family's 1533-position model. The record is from RNAcentral.
GACGAACGCUGGCGGCGUGCUUAACACAUGCAAGUCGAACGGAAAGGCCCUGCUUGCAGGGUACUCGAGUGGCGAACGGGUGAGUAACACUUGGGUGAUCUGCCCUGCACUUCGGGAUAAGCCUGGGAAACUGGGUCUAAUACCGGAUAGGAGCCAUUUUUAGUGUGAUGGUUGGAAAGUUUUUUCGGUGUAGGAUGAGCUCGCGGCCUAUCAGCUUGUUGGUGGGGUAAUGGCCUACCAAGGCGGCGACGGGUAGCCGGCCUGAGAGGGUGGACGGCCACAUUGGGACUGAGAUACGGCCCAGACUCCUACGGGAGGCAGCAGUGGGGAAUAUUGCACAAUGGGCGCAAGCCUGAUGCAGCGACGCCGCGUGGGGGAUGACGGCCUUCGGGUUGUAAACUCCUUUCGCUAGGGACGAAGCUUUUGUGACGGUACCUAGAGAAGAAGCACCGGCUAACUACGUG